GCAAAAAUAGCUCAAUGGUAGAGUAUAACUCUUGCCAAGGUUAAUGUUGAGGGUUCGAAUCCUCUUUUUUUGCU
RNAcentral lists this transfer RNA (74 nucleotides) under Globisporangium ultimum DAOM BR144. Its description in RNAcentral is "tRNA EPrPULG00000000084". It matches the Rfam family "tRNA". From Rfam's summary of the family: Transfer RNA (tRNA) molecules are approximately 80 nucleotides in length. Lineage: Eukaryota; Oomycota; Peronosporomycetes; Pythiales; Pythiaceae. The record is from RNAcentral.